AGUGAACGCUGGCGGUAGGCUUAACACAUGCAAGUCGAACGGCAGCACAGUAAGAGCUUGCUCUUACGGGUGGCGAGUGGCGGACGGGUGAGGAAUACAUCGGAAUCUACUUUUUCGUGGGGGAUAACGUAGGGAAACUUACGCUAAUACCGCAUACGACCUACGGGUGAAAGCAUGGGAUCUUCGGACCUUGCGCGAUUGAAUGAGCCGAUGUCGGAUUAGCUAGUUGGGGGGGUAAAGGCCCACCAAGGCGACGAUCCGUAGCUGGUCUGAGAGGAUGGUAGUCCACAGGAGAGGGGGAACGGGGACCAGGAGACUGAGGGAGGGAGGAGUGGGAAAUAUGAGGCAAUGGGCGCAAGCCUGAAACAGCAGUACCGCGCGGGUGAGAAAGGCGUUCGGUUAGUGAAGCCCUUUUGUGAGGAAAAAAAAGAAGUGGGAUGAUACCUGGGUUUCUUGACGGUACACAAGAAAGAAGCCAGGGCUAACUAGGUG
RNAcentral lists this ribosomal RNA (492 nucleotides) under uncultured bacterium. RNAcentral's name for it is "partial 16S ribosomal RNA". It matches the Rfam family "Bacterial small subunit ribosomal RNA", at positions 30 to 507 of the family's 1533-position model. The record is from RNAcentral.